RNAcentral lists this ribosomal RNA (379 nucleotides) under uncultured bacterium. RNAcentral describes it as "bacterial SSU rRNA". It matches the Rfam family "Bacterial small subunit ribosomal RNA", at positions 28 to 409 of the family's 1533-position model. The record is from RNAcentral.
GACGAACGCUGGCGGCGUGCUUAACACAUGCAAGUCGAGCGGAAAGGCCCUUUCGGGGGUACUCGAGCGGCGAACGGGUGAGUAACACGUGAGUAAUCUGCCCUUGGCUUUGGGAUAACUACCGGAAACGGUGGCUAAUACCGGAUAUGACCAUGCUCGGCAUCGGGUGUGGUGGAAAGUUUUUUCGGCCAGGGAUGUGCUCGCGGCCUAUCAGCUUGUUGGUGGGGUAAUGGCCUACCAAGGCUUCGACGGGUAGCCGGCCUGAGAGGGUGACCGGCCACACUGGGACUGAGACACGGCCCAGACUCCUACGGGAGGCAGCAGUGGGGAAUAUUGGACAAUGGGCGGAAGCCUGAUCCAGCAACGCCGCGUGAGGGAU